AGAGUUUGAUCAUGGCUCAGGAUGAACGCUAGCUACAGGCUUAACACAUGCAAGUCGAGGGGAAACGGACAUCGAAAGACUUGCUUUUGUAUGGGCGCCGACCGGCGGCACGGGUGGAGUAACGCGUAUCCAACCUGCCCAUCACUUGGGGAUAACCUUGCGAAAGUAAGACUAAUACCCAAUGAUAUCUCUAGAAGACAUCUGAAAGAGAUUAAAGAUUUAUCGGUGAUGGAUGGGGAUGCGUCUGAUUAGCUUGUUGGCGGGGUAACGGCCACCAAGGCUACGAUCAGUAGGGGUUCUGAGAGGAAGGUCCCCCACAUUGGAACUGAGACACGGUCAAACUCUACGGAGGCA
This 354-nucleotide ribosomal RNA is filed under the name uncultured bacterium. RNAcentral describes it as "bacterial SSU rRNA". It matches the Rfam family "Bacterial small subunit ribosomal RNA", at positions 8 to 350 of the family's 1533-position model. The record is from RNAcentral.